UACGUAGGGUGCGAGCGUUGUCCGGAAUUAUUGGGCGUAAAGGGCUCGUAGGCGGUCUGUUGCGUCGGGAGUGAAAACUCAGGGCUUAACCCUGAGCCUGCUUCCGAUACGGGCAGACUAGAGGUAUGCAGGGGAGAACGGAAUUCCUGGUGUAGCGGUGAAAUGCGCAGAUAUCAGGAGGAACACCGGUGGCGAAGGCGGUUCUCUGGGCAUUACCUGACGCUGAGGUGCGAAAGUGUGGGGAGCGAACAGG
This 253-nucleotide ribosomal RNA is filed under the name uncultured bacterium. RNAcentral's name for it is "partial 16S ribosomal RNA". It matches the Rfam family "Bacterial small subunit ribosomal RNA", at positions 524 to 776 of the family's 1533-position model. The record is from RNAcentral.